UUGUAAACCCUGAACAGUGCUGCGUAAAUCAGGGAUCAUUUCUGCAAAAACGAAACUUAAAAACAGUAUAGCGUCACGGGAAUUCCUCUCGCACACAGAGUCAAGCGAUUAUUAUAUUUAUCAUUCCCCGAGUUGGUUCGUCAUCACUAAAUUGGGAACAUAAGAACAAAGACAAAAGGCAGAAACAGAGUGGCUGAACCAGUUUGCUGUGGCGGCUCGUUCAGAGCAAACUUUUAUUUUAUCAAGAUAAAGGACCGCAGAAGAAGCUGGUAUGAAAUCCCACUGCUGCUCCGGUGGAGGCCACAGCUGCACCUGAUGCAACAAUAAACAGGUUAAAUACCAAAGAAUUAACAAGUCAAAGGUCUGAAUGAGGAACUGCACAGUCACUGAGCAACAUACCUGCGUGUGUAAUACUUCAGAAAGACAGCACAUAAUGACCCUGUGAUUAUAAUUCCAACAACGAUCAUCCCACAGUUAUAAAGACUUGCAGAACCUCAUUCUCAAGCUGGAAGAUUAAAUGAAA
Gasterosteus aculeatus aculeatus (three-spined stickleback) is the source of this 523-nucleotide non-coding RNA. NCBI's taxonomy places the organism in Eukaryota, Metazoa, Chordata, Actinopteri, Perciformes, Gasterosteidae. The record is from RefSeq and is a predicted model, not a curated record.